AAAGGGAGACCUAAUUCAGGUAGGAGACGAAAAAAAAGUAGUCGCUACCAAGAAUCAAUCCCAAAAGGUCGGAGCGAGGCGAAAUUGGCUUUCAAACUAGGUUCUGGGUUCACACAAGACCUGAAUCAGGAACAAGGGCUAUUAGCUCAGGUGGUUAGAGCGCACCCCUGAUAAGGGUGAGGUCCCUGGUUCGAGUCCAGGAUGGCCCACCUGCACAGGUGGCAAAAACAAGAGAAGCUCCGAAUCAGCACCUUAUCUUACUGACAUAGUAAGAGAGAAUGCUGGCUCUGAGUAAAGAGUCCAGAGGAACCUUGAAAACUGCAUAGAGCUAGGUGAAAAAGCCAAAAAAGAAGACCGCAAG
RNAcentral lists this transfer RNA (361 nucleotides) under uncultured Microcystis sp. Its description in RNAcentral is "partial 16S-23S ribosomal RNA intergenic spacer". The stretch from base 136 to 209 matches the Rfam family "tRNA". The record is from RNAcentral. Lineage: Bacteria; Bacillati; Cyanobacteriota; Cyanophyceae; Chroococcales; Microcystaceae.